This 406-nucleotide ribosomal RNA is filed under the name uncultured bacterium. RNAcentral describes it as "partial 16S ribosomal RNA". It matches the Rfam family "Bacterial small subunit ribosomal RNA", at positions 30 to 526 of the family's 1533-position model. The record is from RNAcentral.
AUUGAACGCUGGCGGCAGGCCUAACACAUGCAAGUCGAGCGAGCGGCGGACGGGUGAGUAAUGUAUGGGGAUCUGCCCGAUAGAGGGGGAUAACUACUGGAAACGGUGGCUAAUACCGCAUACUAUCGGAUGAACCCAUAUGGGAUUAGCUAGUUGGUGAGGUAAUGGCUCACCAAGGCGACGAUCCCUAGCUGGUCUGAUAGGAUGACCAGCCACACUGGAACUGAGACACGGGCCAGACUCCUACGGGAGGCAGCAGUGGGGAAUAUUGCACAAUGGGCGCAAGCCGGAUACAGACAUGCCGCGUGUGUGAAGAAGGCCUUCGGGUUGUAAAGCACUGUCAGCGAGGAGGCGUUACGCGCAGAAGAAGCACCGGCUAACUCCGUGCCAGCAGCCGCGGUAAUAC